ACCAGCCGGCUGAAUGGAGGCCUUCAAGGCUGGGCAGGACAGAGGGGCAGCCAACCGCAUGGGAGACCUUCACCACACGCCGAGGCUAGUGACGUGUCUGAUGUUGUGCUCUCCAGGACUUGCUUGUGGGUCACCUUUGCUGUCCGAGGAAGACGCAGGAGCAUCUUCUCCAGGACCGCAGCUCAACCGAGUCUUGCUUUUUUAAGGUCCAGCUUUCACAGCCAUCGAUGGCACACCCUCCCAUUCUCAGCUGGCCCAAUUAGAUGCACCUCACCUAAGAACCUGGAGAAAUUCAUUGCUGCAAGAUGUUAAUGACUUUAGUCAACUGGAUGGGACAAGGAGCUCUUUUCCUGCAAGAGAAAGAGAACAAAAACCACAGAGAUGGUUUCCCCUCCCCCGCCCCAACUGUUUCCUGUGCUUCCUCGGUACUCAACUGCUUUGAAACUCAUCAAAUUUCAUACGUCAACAUUUUUCCCAGUACUCGUUUGUUUGACACACAAGCUAGAACAUGUCAGUUCUGACUCACUACAUUAUUUCUUAUGGGAAAAACUUGUUUUGUACUCAUUGUUUUUGGUUCUCAUUGUGCCUUCCGGAACUAAUUAACAAAGAGUUAUCAAAGGUACCACUGUACUUAUCUUGGGUUUUUUGUUUUUUGUUUUUUUUUGCAAAGGAAGCAGACUUCAUGUUCAAACAACAGAGAAUCAUAUUUAAUUACAUAUGAGAUCCACAAAUGCCUAAGCACCAUGUUUUCUGGCCACUAAUAUGGCUGACACAGCAGUGGAAGGAAGUUUUGUGCUGUCUGCCUCAGUCUUCAUGUUUACCAGGAAGGAAAGGGAUUCUUGGCACAUCUCCUGACCUUUGUAAUCCUCCGAACCCCCUUACAGUCCCAAAGUCAUCCGUGAAACAAAGGAAGCCAAAGCAGAGAGCUUGCUGGCCUGGUGUAUUGGCCAUUCAGUCAGAUGUCCAUGUGUUAUAGUGAUGUCCAGGGCUAAAAUGGGGCGCUUUGUCCAAAGAUGCUCAUUAAAAGAUCUGAUCCUGAUCAAA
Non-coding RNA from Pantherophis guttatus, 1044 nucleotides. The record is from RefSeq and is a predicted model, not a curated record. Lineage: Eukaryota; Metazoa; Chordata; Lepidosauria; Squamata; Colubridae.